UACGGAAGGCAGCAGUGGGGAAUAUUGCACAAUGGGCGAAAGCCUGAUGCAGCUAUGCCGCGUGUAUGAAGAAGGCCUUAGGGUUGUAAAGUACUUUCAUCGGGGAGGAAAAACAAAACUAAUAAUUUUAUUUCUUGACGUUACCCGAAAAAGAAGCACCGGCUAACUCCGUGCCAGCAGCCGCGGUAAUACGGAGGGUGCUAGCGUUAAUCAGAAUUACUGGGCGUAAAGAGCACGUAGGUGGUUUUUUUAAGUCAGAUGUGAAAUCCCUGGGCUUAACCUAGGAACUGCAUUUUGAAACUGAAAUACUAGAGUAUCGUAGAGGGAGGUAGAAUUCUAGGUGUAGCGGUGAAAUGCGUAGAUAUCUGGAGGAAUACCUGUGGCGAAAGCGGCCUCCUAAACGAAUACUGACACUGAGGUGCGAAAAGCGUGGGGAGCAAAACAGGGAUUAGAUACC
Molecule: ribosomal RNA, 457 nt
Filed under: uncultured bacterium
Lineage: Bacteria
Description: bacterial SSU rRNA
Rfam family: Bacterial small subunit ribosomal RNA
Source: RNAcentral